GUGAGUCAUGUGAUGGGAAACCUUCCCGCACGGUUCAGAGAGCACUAAAUUAGAAUGAGAGGUUCACCACCAUAUCAUUGCAUGCAAGGAGAGCUCGCUCGAUUUUCAGAAUCAAAUUGGUCCGACUCGUAAUUCACUUCUGACUCCAU
Molecule: non-coding RNA, 149 nt
Organism: Lupinus angustifolius (narrow-leaved blue lupine)
Lineage: Eukaryota; Viridiplantae; Streptophyta; Magnoliopsida; Fabales; Fabaceae
Source: Rfam